Molecule: long non-coding RNA, 209 nt
Filed under: Elaeis guineensis (African oil palm)
Lineage: Eukaryota; Viridiplantae; Streptophyta; Magnoliopsida; Arecales; Arecaceae
Description: long non-coding RNA (EGUI_LNC001520)
Source: RNAcentral
CGUAUGUCUAUCACGUGCAACGCACAUGCUGGUUAUUUCUUUUUUUUUUGCUUCUUCUUCAUGGGACAGAGGACCCACGCAGUCCUCUUUCUUCUUUCCACAAAACAGGAAACUCCUUAUUCCCUUGAUCCCAAUGCUAAGGGGGUCCACCUCCUGGCCGGCAACACUCAUAGUCGGAGGAGCAGGUCAUGGUGGCAAUCGACGACCCC